Neolamprologus brichardi is the source of this 403-nucleotide non-coding RNA. NCBI's taxonomy places the organism in Eukaryota, Metazoa, Chordata, Actinopteri, Cichliformes, Cichlidae. The record is from RefSeq and is a predicted model, not a curated record.
GGGGACGGACGUCUUGCUGGCUUGUCAGAGAGGUCCCUUCUGCUGGUGUGCUGAAGUUAUGUGUUCACGUGGGAGCACGUGGAAAGGACGACCGUGAGUGCUGCUGCCGCGGCCUGCUGGUAGCCGUGACCCAGUUUCCCCGCUAUCCCCUUGAACUGCCUGGAGGUGUCCCAACGCACCCGAGCCACGACUCAGGCCUGCAACGAGGGGUUUGCUAGCAGAAAGACUGUAGCACUUGAGGUGUGUGUGUGUUUGGUGAGAGUGUGUGUGGGCCCACAAUAUUAUUUGAUUAUUUUGUUUCUGUUGAGGUAGAUACCUUACCAUUGUUUAACAAACUUUAUUGAUUUUACUUAUUUUCUUUUGUGUUGUUAAUUAAGCAUUCACUAAAGUGGAGUUAACUUUA